UAAGACAGAGGGUGCAAACGUUGCUCGGAUUUACUGGGCGUAAAGCGCGUGUAGGCGGGCGAAUAAGUCGGGUGUGAAAUCCCUGGGCUCAACCUAGGAACUGCAUCCGAAACUGUUCACCUGGAGUGAUGGAGAGGAAGGCGGAAUUCCCGGUGUAGAGGUGAAAUUCGUAGAUAUCGGGAGGAACACCAGUGGCGAAGGCGGCCUUCUGGACAUUUACUGACGCUGAGACGCGAAAGCGUGGGGAGCAAACAGG
RNAcentral lists this ribosomal RNA (256 nucleotides) under uncultured bacterium. RNAcentral describes it as "partial 16S ribosomal RNA". It matches the Rfam family "Bacterial small subunit ribosomal RNA", at positions 521 to 776 of the family's 1533-position model. The record is from RNAcentral.